Molecule: transfer RNA, 72 nt
Filed under: Candidatus Ornithospirochaeta stercorigallinarum
Lineage: Bacteria; Pseudomonadati; Spirochaetota; Spirochaetia; Spirochaetales; Spirochaetaceae
Description: tRNA-Arg
Rfam family: tRNA
About the family: Transfer RNA (tRNA) molecules are approximately 80 nucleotides in length. Their secondary structure includes four short double-helical elements and three loops (D, anti-codon, and T loops). Further hydrogen bonds mediate the characteristic L-shaped molecular structure. tRNAs have two regions of fundamental functional importance: the anti-codon, which is responsible for specific mRNA codon recognition, and the 3' end, to which the tRNAs corresponding amino acid is attached (by aminoacyl-tRNA synthetases). tRNAs cope with the degeneracy of the genetic code in two manners: having more than one tRNA (with a specific anti-codon) for a particular amino acid; and 'wobble' base-pairing, i.e. permitting non-standard base-pairing at the 3rd anti-codon position.
Source: RNAcentral
GUCCCCAUAGCACAAUGGAUAGUGCACAUCUCUCCGGAAGAUGGGAUGGCGGUUCGAUUCCGCCUGGGGAUA